This 94-nucleotide transfer RNA is filed under the name Micromonospora gifhornensis. RNAcentral's name for it is "tRNA-Arg". Lineage: Bacteria; Bacillati; Actinomycetota; Actinomycetes; Micromonosporales; Micromonosporaceae. The record is from RNAcentral.
CGGUGCCGUGGGCGACGGCGUGACCACCGGCGGCUCGGGCGACGACGGCACUGACGACUGCGGUGCUGCGGGCGGUACGACCGCUGCCACCGGC